UAGGGAAUCUUCGGCAAUGGGGGGAACCCUGACCGAGCAACGCCGCGUGAGUGAAGAAGGUUUUCGGAUCGUAAAGCUCUUUUGUUAAGGAAGAACGAGUGUGAGAAUGGAAAGUUCAUACUGUGACGGUACUUAACCAGAAAGGGACGGCUAACUACGUGCCAGCAGCCGCGGUAAUACGUAGGUCCCGAGCGUUGUCCGGAUUUAUUGGGCGUAAAGCGAGCGCAGGCGGUUAGAUAAGUCUGAAGUUAAAGGCAGUGGCUCAACCAUUGUAGGCUUUGGAAACUGUUUAACUUGAGUGCAGAAGGGGAGAGUGGAAUUCCAUGUGUAGCGGUGAAAUGCGUAGAUAUAUGGAGGAACACCGGUGGCGAAAGCGGCUCUCUGGUCUGUAACUGACGCUGAGGCUCGAAAGCGUGGGGAGCGAACAGG
This 429-nucleotide ribosomal RNA is filed under the name Bacteroidota bacterium. Its description in RNAcentral is "Bacteroidetes bacterium partial 16S ribosomal RNA". It matches the Rfam family "Bacterial small subunit ribosomal RNA", at positions 355 to 776 of the family's 1533-position model. The record is from RNAcentral. Lineage: Bacteria; Pseudomonadati; Bacteroidota.